This is a non-coding RNA of Salmo salar (Atlantic salmon), 54 nucleotides long. The record is from Rfam. NCBI's taxonomy places the organism in Eukaryota, Metazoa, Chordata, Actinopteri, Salmoniformes, Salmonidae.
UUCAUUCACUACUGUAAGUCGCUCUGGAUAAGAGCGUCUGCUAAAUUACGUAAA